Haliotis rufescens (red abalone) is the source of this 656-nucleotide long non-coding RNA. RefSeq lists it as uncharacterized. The record is from RefSeq and is a predicted model, not a curated record. The transcript has 3 exons. NCBI's taxonomy places the organism in Eukaryota, Metazoa, Mollusca, Gastropoda, Lepetellida, Haliotidae.
AUGCACGACUGUACAGGAUGCUGUGCACUCGAGACGGGGAAUGGUCAAGUGACCAUGUUAAUCCUUACCUGUACAGUGAUGGACAGUUUGCAUUUAGUUUGGAAUACCGAUUUUCAGCAAUAUUCCAGAGAUUACACGGCCUGUCAAAAGUCGAGCCUGGAUUGGGAGCACCACUGGUCGAUAUGAUGACAACUUUCCCACGCUGUCGGGGUGCACAGUUGACUUGCCCUUGCGUGGUUUUGUGACGGGUGGCACUGGUGGGGCAGGAUACGCUCACCUUUUCGGAAAACUUGGUACCAUCGCAGGAUAGUGACUUGAUAGUGAUUCACAAACACAUGAUAAAGUCGGUAUCCUACAGUGGUGUUUGCUUUCAGCAGAUAUUUCUUAUGAUUGUCGAAAGUGCUUUGUUGCCUGUAUUUAUACAAUUAAAAAGUAAGUUUUUUUCAAAUAGGUUUUGAUUUUGCUUGGACAUGGCACGGGUUUGGCACCGAGCACAUAUUUAUGUAUAUAGUUGUACAAAGAAAGACACGCAAAGCUAAAAUGGAUCAUGCACCUGUACAUAUUCUUCCCUUAAACAAAAUUCUGUCUGUGAAACGUUUUUUCUUGUGAUGUUUUUUUAUAUGUUUCCUCAUGAAUACAAAGUACUUACAGCGAUA